This 332-nucleotide unclassified non-coding RNA is filed under the name Hevea brasiliensis (rubber tree). The record is from RNAcentral. Lineage: Eukaryota; Viridiplantae; Streptophyta; Magnoliopsida; Malpighiales; Euphorbiaceae.
GGGGAUCGUUCGUGGCGGUGAGGAGGAUCUCGCAGGGGCUCGAUCGGGGCGGCGCCUGCCACGCCUCGUCAGCAGAACUUGUCACAGGAUCAACUGCGUGGCUCGGGAAAGGUCUUUCUUGUGUUUGUGCUCAGAGAAGAGAGAGUGAUGCACGCUUAUCAUUUGACUUGACCCCUUCUCAGGAAGAAUGUUUGCAAAGGUUACAAAACCGAAUUGAAGUUGCUUAUGAUCGCUCGAAGAUUGAACAUCAGGAAGCUCUAAGGGCUCUGUGGUAUGCUGCAUUUCCUGGAGUUGAACUUCGAGAUCUAGUAUCUGAACAAUGGAAGGAAAUG